Molecule: long non-coding RNA, 1969 nt
Organism: Mercenaria mercenaria
Lineage: Eukaryota; Metazoa; Mollusca; Bivalvia; Venerida; Veneridae
Exons: 3
Source: RefSeq, a predicted model, not a curated record
AGAGUCAGCAUUAAAGUAUUGUUGUGCACCUUAAGUUUUGUUUGGUACUUACAUCCGUUCAGACAUUUAUGGCCCUUGACAAGCAAAAGUAUUACUUAAGGAUGUAAAAAGCUUGUGUUGCACGUGUCUCAAAAAGAAAUUGAUCUAGAAUAUACAAAAUAAGUAAUAGGACUGAUAUUAAGCUUGCAAAGUUGUGCUUCAGAUAAAAAUAAAAAAUAAUCUGUGUUUUUGGUUAUGUUUAGAAGGAGAAUCAUUUAUACGAAAGGGACCAAAGUAAAUAUAAAAGUUUACUCAGAAUUGCGUUGUCAACAAGAAACAUGGAGUAGGAGUGGCAAAUCUAGUUACAUUGUAACACGGUGCACAAUCACGUGGUCUAUGGCGACAUGCUAUAGGUAACGCGCCAAGCAUUUUUUGUCAACAAAGCGUCGAUUCAAGAAGAAAAUUCGUCGUCCUUUUACUAUCGAACCAGCCGGGAGACUGUUUUCAAGCUGGUGGACAAAUAUGACCAACGAGCAGAUGACAGGUCCAUACAACGUGUGCCAACUAAUAAACGUUGUAUAUUGGAAGACAGGGACCACGACUUUGAUCGCUCAAAGAGAACUAGGGCCUUGUGCAUAAAAAGGUAGCUACUAUGAGCAUAGACAGGAAGGCUGUUAAAAGGAUCCCUUGGUGUUUCGUGGGACAGCAGUGCAAGGCGGAAUGAAAUUAGCGUAAGAAUUGGACUCGACAACUGAUGAUACACAGCAUGUUGGCGUGUUAAUUGACAUUUCUUGUUUUCGACAAAAAAUUCAGACUGCUGACAUCGGAAGUUUCUUUCAAAAUUCUAUUUCAGACAUUAUCAUGAGUCAACAGACAAACUUUGAAGAAUUUCUUUAUGUUGAAAAUUUUAGUUAUUACACAGUUAACUCUCUUAAGCCUUUAAGGCCAUGUAUCAUGAUGUAGAUUGAACUUUUCGUUUAAACAUUUGUAACAUUUUACAACUAACACAUUCCAGAACUGUCAGCUUCAAUUUUAUUAUUUUUAAAGACAUGUAACUUCAUGUACAAUAAUACGUAAACAAUGAUUGUAAAAUAAUGUAUUAUGUCCCGAAAAUUCAGAAAAGUCAGAAAAUUAGAUAGUAACAGCAAUAUUUGACUUUAUCAAAAUCUUUAACCAAAACAUUGUUAGUUGAAACGGACAUAACUCUGUCAAAUUCAAACAAAGUAGCAGGAAUUGUUUCAUUGGUGUAGACUUUGAUAGCAAAUAACUAUUUUAUGUUACAAGUCAAUGGCUUUGAUAGUAACAGAUAUUUGAAUUUGAAAGCAGCUUAAGAACAAAAAAUAGAGAGGCACGAGGGUUGCAUCAUGCCAAAAAUGCUAUUUGACACAAUGACCAGAAUGCACCACUAAAUAUUCGAGAUCAACAUGUCUUCAUCAAUUUUUCAAAGUAUUCAUUGGUUUAAGGCAUGUGCUUAUUCAAUGCACCACAUUGUAUGCAGGCAGACUCAGGUUGUAUUCAUGACUGCGCAUGUGCUCGGUGAGUUCGUAACGGGUCACCACCAGACAGCCGCAAAUGUCAGAACUGAAAGUCCGAGGAUUGUUCCCCCUCCUGUCGUGAGCGUUUAAGUGUGAACUUAUGCUCUCUUCGUCUGAAAAUUAAUAGAAAUAAUGCUGUGAUACUUUCCAAAUUUUAAAUAAAAUGUAUUAUGCACUUUUGUCGUAAUUAUCUGCAUAUUUGGGAACCAUGUCAUAGAUAAAUACCAAAAUUAUAGUCAUUUUCUUCAGAAUUGUUGUAUUCACAAGAGGAGAGGCCAAGAGCUUGUAUGGAGGCCGUCCUCUGAAUGUUGCUGAUGCUGAUGCAAUUGAGCUUAGGAUAAACAGAUCAAAUAUUUCGUAAAUACACUCAAAACACGUAAAGGAUCAGUUGAUAAUUUUCAAUUGAUUUACAAGUAAACUGUUUCAUUUUUAACCAGCUAUAAUUUCAGUAUUUA